AUAUGAAUUUAUAUUUUUUUCAGCAUUUAACUGUAUUAUUUAAUCCAACUAUCCAGUCCCCACUGUACACACCUCCCAGAGCGGACAUUAAACCGCAGCCGCGGUUCACAAUGGACGGGCUUUGUUGUCGUUUCGUCGGCGUUAUCAAUUAAAUGUAAAGCGAGGCGCAGCGCAAACGAAAUGGAAAUGAAAAUGGCAGCCGUGAGAUACGCCAGAUACACCACACCACUUACACAGAUACUACGGGGGACGCACAGAUACUUAAUACCCUGUAUGUAGUAUUUAUAUACAGUAGUGCACACGUUUACAAAAGUUUGUUAUUAUUAUAUUUGCGAUGAGCGGAAAUGCCAAUUGAAGCUCUACCUUUAACAAAGCCCCAUGAAGAUGACCCCCCGCCCCCGGGGGUUAAACUGAUGGGUGGACAAAUGGAUGGAUGGACAGACUGUGUGCAUGACUCAAGUGUUUUUCAGGGGAGCCACUCGAGCCAAAGUUGAAAAUUGAUUGAUUCCACUAAGCGAAUGAAAAUGGAAGCUAAAACCACUCGAGAGCGUUCAAGAUAACCUCGAUCAGG
Long non-coding RNA from Drosophila takahashii, 571 nucleotides. RefSeq lists it as uncharacterized. NCBI's taxonomy places the organism in Eukaryota, Metazoa, Arthropoda, Insecta, Diptera, Drosophilidae. The record is from RefSeq and is a predicted model, not a curated record.